UACGUAGGUGGCAAGCGUUGUCCGGAUUUAUUGGGUUUAAAGGGUGCGUAGGCGGCUUUGUAAGUCAGUGGUGAAAUAUGGCAGCUCAACUGUCAAGGUGCCAUUGAUACUGCGGAGCUUGAGUACAGAUGAGGUAGGCGGAAUUGACGGUGUAGCGGUGAAAUGCUUAGAUAUCGUCAAGAACACCUAUAGCGAAGGCAGCUUACUAGGCUGCAACUGACGCUGAGGCACGAAAGUGUGGGGAUCAAACAGG
RNAcentral lists this ribosomal RNA (253 nucleotides) under uncultured bacterium. Its description in RNAcentral is "partial 16S ribosomal RNA". It matches the Rfam family "Bacterial small subunit ribosomal RNA", at positions 524 to 776 of the family's 1533-position model. The record is from RNAcentral.